CGUAUCACUUAAAGCGAUUCAGCGGAUGACGAUUGACGGAGCGAAGCGACGUCAAAGCGUAUACAAAGUCGAGUCGGUUUAAGGAUACGUUCGUUGGGUAGGGGAGCGUUCUGUAAGCCUGCGAAGGUGGCCUGUGAGGGUUGCUGGAGGUAUCAGAAGUGCGAAUGCUGACAUAAGUAACGAUAAAGCGGGUGAAAAGCCCGCUCGCCGGAAGACCAAGGGUUCCUGUCCAACGUUAAUCGGGGCAGGGUGAGUCGACCCCUAAGGCGAGGCCGAAAGGCGUAGUCGAUGGGAAACGGGUUAAUAUUCCCGUACUUGGUGUUACUGCGAAGGGGGGACGGAGAAGGCUAUGUUGGCCGGGCGACGGUUGUCCCGGUUUAAGCGUGUAGGUGUGUGUUCCAGGUAAAUCCGGUUCACUUUAACACUGAGGCGUGAUGACGAGGC
This 444-nucleotide ribosomal RNA is filed under the name Salmonella enterica subsp. enterica serovar Oranienburg. Its description in RNAcentral is "partial 23S ribosomal RNA". It matches the Rfam family "Bacterial large subunit ribosomal RNA", at positions 1187 to 1575 of the family's 2925-position model. Lineage: Bacteria; Pseudomonadati; Pseudomonadota; Gammaproteobacteria; Enterobacterales; Enterobacteriaceae. The record is from RNAcentral.